RNAcentral lists this ribosomal RNA (491 nucleotides) under uncultured bacterium. RNAcentral describes it as "partial 16S ribosomal RNA". It matches the Rfam family "Bacterial small subunit ribosomal RNA", at positions 29 to 507 of the family's 1533-position model. The record is from RNAcentral.
GUGAACGCUGGCGGUAGGCCUAACACAUGCAAGUCGCACGGCAGCACAGUAAGAGCUUGCUCUUCCGGGUGGCGAGUGGCGGACGGGUGAGGAAUACAUCGGAAUCUACUUUUUCGUGGGGGAUAACGUAGGGAAACUUACGCUAAUACCGCAUACGACCUACGGGUGAAAGCAGGGGAUCUUCGGACCUUGCGCGAUUGAAUGAGCCGAUGUCGGAUUAGCUAGUUGGCGGGGUAAAGGCCCACCAAGGCGACGAUCCGUAGCUGGUCUGAGAGGAUGAUCAGCCACACUGGAACUGAGACACGGUCCAGACUCCUACGGGAGGCAGCAGUGGGGAAUAUUGGACAAUGGGCGCAAGCCUGAUCCAGCCAUACCGCGUGGGUGAAGAAGGCCUUCGGGUUGUAAAGCCCUUUUGUUGGGAAAGAAAAGCAGCAGGUUAAUACCCCGCUGCUCUGACGGUACCCAAAGAAUAAGCACCGGCUAACUUCGUG